RNAcentral lists this ribosomal RNA (257 nucleotides) under Escherichia coli. RNAcentral's name for it is "partial 16S ribosomal RNA". It matches the Rfam family "Bacterial small subunit ribosomal RNA", at positions 1 to 254 of the family's 1533-position model. The record is from RNAcentral. Lineage: Bacteria; Pseudomonadati; Pseudomonadota; Gammaproteobacteria; Enterobacterales; Enterobacteriaceae.
AAAUUGAAGAGUUUGAUCAUGGCUCAGAUUGAACGCUGGCGGCAGGCCUAACACAUGCAAGUCGAACGGUAACAGGAAGAAGCUUGCUUCUUUGCUGACGAGUGGCGGACGGGUGAGUAAUGUCUGGGAAACUGCCUGAUGGAGGGGGAUAACUACUGGAAACGGUAGCUAAUACCGCAUAACGUCGCAAGACCAAAGAGGGGGAGCUUCGGGCCUCUUGCCAUCGGAUGUGCCCAGAUGGGAUUAGCUAGUAGGUG